This 468-nucleotide ribosomal RNA is filed under the name uncultured bacterium. RNAcentral describes it as "partial 16S ribosomal RNA". It matches the Rfam family "Bacterial small subunit ribosomal RNA", at positions 36 to 507 of the family's 1533-position model. The record is from RNAcentral.
UCCUCCCUCUUUCUUCGUGCUUAACACAUGCAAGUCGAACGGAAAGGCCCUGCUUUUGUGGGUUGCUCGAGUGGCGAACGGGUGAGUAACACGUGAGUAACCUGCCCUUGACUUUGGGAUAACUUCAGGAAACUUGGGCUAAUACCGGAUAGGAGCUCCUGCUGCAUGGUGGGGGUUGGAAAGUUUCUGCGGUUGGGGAUGGACUCGCGGCUUAUCAGCUUGUUGGUGGGGUAGUGGCUUACCAAGGCUUUGACGGGUAGCCGGCCUGAGAGGGUGACCGGCCACAUUGGGACUGAGAUACGGCCCAGACUCCUACGGGAGGCAGCAGUGGGGAAUAUUGCACAAUGGGCGGAAGCCUGAUGCAGCAACGCCGCGUGCGGGAUGACGGCCUUCGGGUUGUAAACCGCUUUCGCCUGUGACGAAGCGUGAGUGACGGUAAUGGGUAAAGAAGCACCGGCUAACUACGUG